UAGUUGUUAGUGUUAGUGUUAGUUGUUAGUUUAAUGACAAGGAAAGUAAAUUAUUUUCCAUUUUGGGCAAUUUGUGGAGUUUCUCCUUUUUUUUUUUUUUUUUAGAUAGAAAAUUGCGCGACACUGUGCUACUACUAUGUGAAAUUAAAGAUGCCGCCAACAAAAUUCAAUUUAUCCAAAAAAUCCAAAAUUAUCGAUUUUGGAACCACCCUCGUAUCUCCGUUGUCUUUUAAGAGUUUAAAACCGCUGUUAUAGGAAUUUUUCUGUAGACUCCAGUGGCGGUAUAUUUUUGCAAAACAACACAAAUGAUGAGCGUCAGAAUUGACAAACGUCAAAACAUCCCAUGAUGAUUUAGAAAAUGCCUUGGCGACGUAUAGGAGCGGUAACAGCAAAUGGCAUAAUUAAAAAAAUGGCUAUGGAAGAAUGCCUGUUUGCUUUAACAGUAACAGACGUUCGAAAACUAGCGUUUGAAAUAGCGUCUAGACAUAGCAUCCUUAAUAAUUUUAAUCAAGAAAAAAGGACGGCUGGAAAGAAAUGAUAUUAUUCCCUCAUGGCGACGCAUGAAGAUAUUCAAUGUUGAUGAAACUGGGUGCUCGACGGUACAAAGGAAAUGUCAGAGAGUGUCUGCCCUCAACAGACGGUAUGAUAAGGUGCUUGCAACUGGCGCUCCUCCAGGCAGCUUUAUCACUUAAGGGACACUGGGUACAUUACUUCAGAUUUGUUUGUUUCUUGGCUUCACCAUUUUAUACGCUGUGUCAAACCUAGUCGCGAGCAUCCAGUUUUAUUGCUUCUUGCUGGACACAGCACCCACAGCAAAAACCUCGAGGCACUAAAAAUUGCACGUGCUAAUGGAAUAAAACAACUCCAACUACCUAGCCACACAACUCAUCGUUUACAACCUCUCGGUGUGGGAUUUUUCAGAUCUUUUCCGAAGAACUACAGUCAGUGUAUCGAACAGUGGCUUAGAAGUAACGUGAGCUGCACUGUAAGCAUGUUUCAGGUGAGCGCCUUAAUAGGAGAAGCCUAUGGAUUAGCAGCAACUGUAAGAAAGUCUGUUGACGCUUUUCGGGGGCAAACGUUUAACGUUAACUCAUCGGUUAAAGCUGAUUCAUCUAGUGAAAACGAUAAUCCACUCGCUCUUCUGAAGAAACGGACAAGAACAACGGAAGUCUCUAAUUCUUCUUUAGAUGUUUCCAACUUGGAAAUUUUUCCUUUGCCACUAAGCAAAGAAAUAAUUUCUAAAAGAGUGGCAAGAAAGCAAGUAGCAUUAACCAGUUCUCCCUACAAAAACGAUUUAGAAGAAUAAAGAGCGGGCCUAUCAAAAACCAAAACGACAUUCAAGCGAAACUUAGGAUUGACAGGACAAAGAGACAUGAUUCGCUUUCUAAAAUGUAAAGUGUGGCAUCAUGCCAAAUGUGCAAAACGUCUCUCAGAAAGUGAAAAAACAUGUUUGUACUAACUGCGUUUAAAGUUAAAAGUGUUUUUAAAUAACGUUAAAAAUAUUUAAUGUGAUUAUAUUCCAUAUCUCUUGUAUUUUUUUAAGUUUUUUAUA
This is a long non-coding RNA of Cylas formicarius (sweet potato weevil), 1552 nucleotides long. RefSeq lists it as uncharacterized. NCBI's taxonomy places the organism in Eukaryota, Metazoa, Arthropoda, Insecta, Coleoptera, Brentidae. The transcript is spliced from 3 exons. The record is from RefSeq and is a predicted model, not a curated record.